GUGCCGUUAGUUCAGUUGGUUAGAGCAACCGCCUCAUAAGCGGUAAAUCAUGGGUUCAAAUCCCAUACGGCGCA
This 74-nucleotide transfer RNA is filed under the name Clostridium sp. Its description in RNAcentral is "tRNA-Met". It matches the Rfam family "tRNA". From Rfam's summary of the family: Transfer RNA (tRNA) molecules are approximately 80 nucleotides in length. Their secondary structure includes four short double-helical elements and three loops (D, anti-codon, and T loops). Further hydrogen bonds mediate the characteristic L-shaped molecular structure. tRNAs have two regions of fundamental functional importance: the anti-codon, which is responsible for specific mRNA codon recognition, and the 3' end, to which the tRNAs corresponding amino acid is attached (by aminoacyl-tRNA synthetases). tRNAs cope with the degeneracy of the genetic code in two manners: having more than one tRNA (with a specific anti-codon) for a particular amino acid; and 'wobble' base-pairing, i.e. permitting non-standard base-pairing at the 3rd anti-codon position. RNAcentral also lists the same sequence under 2 other names. The record is from RNAcentral. Lineage: Bacteria; Bacillati; Bacillota; Clostridia; Eubacteriales; Clostridiaceae.